AAAUGUUUAACCUUAAACAUUAGUUGAAUGCUACUAUCAUUUUAGGAAUUAGGGAGUAUAAAAUUUUCUGUUCUUUAAUUUAAACAUUAAGAAGCACGGACAUGAGAUACGAAAACAACAUGAAAAAUUUAAGUGUACAUCCAACAAAUUUGAUACCUCAAAAUAGAUAAGACUCAUAAAUUUGGGUGAGUUCAAUUCUAGAGUUGAUAAUUAUAAUUAGUAUUGAAAAGAGAGACAACGAGUUCACACUAAUUUACGUGGAAACCCGAGUACCGGGAGAAAAACCACGAUUGUUUGUUGUUAUUAUUUUCUAAUGAAUAAAACAAUAGGUACAGGGGAGAAUAAAUAGAGUACACAAUGGAAUAAAAAAGGAAAAGAUUUAGGAAAAUAAGGAAUACAUUCCCAUAAUCUUUCCAUAAUUAUUCUAGGAUUCUAACAAGGAAAAAGCCUAGAAAAAAAGGAAAGAAUUCCAACACUCCCCCUCAAGUUGGGACGUAAAUAUCAAUGAGGCCCAACUUGCUAACGCAAAAGUCGAAGUUUGGUCUGAGAAGCCCUUUGGUAAGAACGUCAGCAACCUGUUGACUCGAAGGGAUGUACGGAAUGCAUAUGCUCCCACUGUCAAGUUUUUCUUUGAUAAAAUGUCGAUCAAUCUCAACAUGUUUAGUUCUAUCAUGUUGAACAGGGUUGUUAGCAAUACUAAUAGCGGCUUUAUUAUCACAGAAAAGCUUCAAUGGUGUCUCACAUUCCUGAUGAAGAUCUGUCAAAACUUUCUGAAGCCAAAUUUCCUCACAUAUUCCUAAACUCAUAGCUCUAUAUUCAGCCUCAGCGCUGCUCCUGGCCACAACACUUUGCUUCUUACUCCUCCAAGUUACAAGAUUGCCCCAAACAAAGGUACAAUAACCAGAGGUAGAUUUUCUGUCAACAACAGAUCCUGCCCAAUCCGAGUCAGUGUAUGCCUCAACGGUCUUUCUGUCUGUUUUUCUAAACAUCAGCCCUUACCAGGUGUUGAUUUUAAGUAUCUCAAGAUUCUGUUGACAGCUUUCAUGUGUUCCUCAUUAGGGGUCUGCAUAAACUGGCUGACAACACUCACAGCAAAGGAAAUAUCAGGACGAGUAUGAGAUAAGUAAAUUAAUUUACCCACGAGGCGUUGAUACUGUUCUUUAUCAACUGGAACUUGAUCAUCAGAGUUUCCUAGUUUGCAGUUGAAUUCAAUAGGAGUGUCAGUGGGACGACAUCCUAACAUACCUGUCUCGGUUAACAAAUCAAGGAUGUAUUUUCUUUGAGAUACGGAGAUACCUUCUUUAGAUCUGGCCACCUCCAUUCCAAGGAAAUAUUUCAAAUUUCCCAAAUCCUUGAUUUCAAACUCAUCGCCCAUUCUCUGCUUUAGUUGACUGAUUUCUGCCUGAUCAUCUCCAGUCAAAACAAUGUCAUCCACAUAAACUAUUAGAACAGCAAUCUUUCCUGUUUUGGAAACCUUUGUAAAUAAAGUAUGAUCAGAGUGUCCCUGCCUGUACCCUUGGGACUUGACAAAGGUAGUGAAUCUGUCAAACCAUGCUCUGGGAGACUGUUUCAGACCAUAUAUAGAUUUUGGAGUUUACACACAUGCUGACCAAACUGGGCUUCAAAUCCAGGCGGAGGGCUCAUGUAGACUUCCUCUACGAGGUCUCCAUUCAAAAAGGCAUUCUUAACAUCCAGCUGAUAUAAGGCCAAUCUUUGUUCACAGCAACAGAUAACAGAACUCUAAUAGUAUUCAACUUAGCAACUGGAGAAAAAGUUUCUGAAUAGUCAAUACCAUAGGUUUGAGUAAAUCCCUUCGCAACUAACCUUGCCUUGUGUCUGUCAAGAGUACCAUCAGCUUUGUAUUUGAGAGAGAACACCCAUUUGCAUCCCACAGUUUUGUGUCCCUUAGGUAGAGUACAAAUGUCCCAAGUACUAUUCUUUUCAAGAGCUUUCAUCUCUUCCAUGACAGCAUUCUUCCAUUCAGGAUACUUUAAAGCAGUGUAGAUAUCUUUUGGUAUUAUGGUAGAGUCAAGGCUUGCUGUAAAAGCUCUGAACUGAGGAGAGAGAUAUCGUAGGAAACAUAAUUGCAAAUGGGGUGUUUAGUACAAGACCUGGUGCCUUUUCUCAGAGCAAUGGGAAUGUCAAGAGAGGAAUCAUACUCAUCUGAUUUUCCUGUAUGACCCUGUUCCGCUUCAUUAUUACGGGUUUCUAUUCUGACCUCAAUCUCAUCACCACUGUCCUUUUCUUCCACGUUUUCAAGAACAGCAACAUUAGACCUGUCAUUCUCACUUAUCAUAUUCUUAGUACAGGGUUCAGUAGGGUUUUCCAUACCUUGAUCUCGAGGAGGUUCAGAGUCUUGGACUGGAGCCGGCGGCUGACUAGUAGGGGAACCGACUUCCUUUUUGUGAUUCCUCCUGUAGUACGUUUUCCAGGGGACUUGGUUUGUGGGUAGGACUAUGGAAUGAGGAAUGAUGUUAGACACAACACUAGGAGUGGGUUCGAUGAAUUCAAAGGUGUUGUUAGACUCUUCACUCACACUCUCCCCCUGAAGAUGGCUAACGGGAAAGUAGGGUCGAUCCUCACAGAAAGUAACAUCCAUAGUGACAAAGUAUUUUCUGGAUGGUGGGUGAAAACAUUUAUAACCACGCUGGUGAGGGGGAUACCCAACAAACACACAUGCCUGAGCCCGAGGGGUAAAUUUGGUUUGAUUAGGGCCAAAAUUAUGGACAUAAGCGGUACACCCAAACACACGAAGAGGAACCUCAGAAACAUGACGAGUCGAUGGGUAGGACUCCUUAAGACAAUCUAAGGGAGUUUGAAGAUGAAGAAUACGAGAAGGCAUUCUAUUGAUUAAAUGAGCUGCUGUAAGAAUAGCAUCUCCCCACAAGUAUGAAGGAAGGGAAGUAGAAAGCAUAAGGGAACGGGCUACUUCCAGAAGGUGACGGUUUUUUCGCUCGGCCACUCCAUUUUGUUGAGGAGUGUAGGCGCACGAGUUUUGAUGAACAAUCCCCUUGGAAGCAAGAAAUUCACUAAGGUUAUGGUUUUGGAAUUCCCGACCAUUAUCACUCCGAAGAAUAGCAAUUUUUUGAUGGAAUUGUGUUUCAAUGGUGUGAUAGAAAUUUUGAAACAUAGAGGAAACCUCAGAUUUAACAGUGAUAAGGUAGACCCAGGUAAGACGGGUAUGAUCAUCAAUGAAGGUUACGAACCACCGUUUUCCAGAUGAGGUUGUUAUCUUGGAUGGUCCCCAGACAUCACUAUGAACAAGAGUGAAGGGUUGGGUUGGUUUGUAUGGUUGUGAGGGAAAAGAGACUCGAUGUUGUUUGGCCUGAAUACACACAUCACAAGAUAAGGUAGUCAUCUCAACUUUAGAGAAGAGAUGUGGAAAUAAAUGUUUCAUAUAUUGAAAAUUAGGGUGGCCUAAACGAAAAUGCCACAACAUACAAUCUUGUUCAGAAGUAGUGAAAUAGGAAGAUAAGAGACUAGUCCUAGGAAUGCUACUAGAAGAGGUAUCGUCAUCAAGGAGGUAGAGUCCCCUACUAUGCCGGGCAGUGCCAAUCAUCCUCCCCGAGCUCAAGUCCUGAAAAGAGACAGAAUCAGGUAAGAAUAUUGCUUUGCAGUUUAACUCAUGAGUGAUCUUGCUUAUCGAAAGCAAAUUAUAAGAUAGUUUGGGCACAUGCAAAACAUUAUGUAAGGAGAGCCCUGCACAAGGAGAAAUCUUCCCCUUUCCAGCAAUGGGGGCCAAGGAGCCAUCUGCAAUUCUAAUUGUCUCGUUCCCAGCACAAGGAAUGUAAGAUACAAAAUGAACCAGUCAAAUGAUCUGUGGCACCAGAAUCCAGAAUCCAGGGGUUCUCCCAUCAAUACUAACAAGACCGAAGGAAUGAGGUAUACCUGAUUGGACAAUGGCACCUAAAGUGGCAAGACUGAGAUCAGUUUGGUUUUUGUGUGGAUCGGAUUGUUGAGGAGGUUCAGCAGACUCACUCACAUACGCCCGCCCUGUUUGUCGUUGGAAGGGCGUUUCUUACUUCCUGGGGGACGACCAUGUAACUUCCAACAUUGUUCUUUGGUAUGCCAUUGUUUUUUGCAAUGCUCGCAGACAGGAAUUGGUUUUCCAUUAUGCUUGUCACUGCUACUGUUAGAAGAUCUUGCACUAAAAGCAGCAGAGUCAAUAGUAGGGGUUGCGGAAAUAUUCAUAGCACUUGUGCGAUCUUCCUCGAGGCGGAUUUCAGAGCAAACUUCCAUCAGGGAGGGAAUCGGUCUUUGACCUAGUAUACGCCCUCUACAUCAAACUUAGGAUUAAGACCAGCAAGAAAGUCAUAAAUCCUGUCAUUCUCUUCAAUUCUCGAGUACUGUACACCAUCAGUGGGAUCACGCCAGACUAGUUCUCUGCAUAGGUCCAUUUCUUGCCAUAUAAGAGAAAGCUUAUUGAAAAAGGAUGUGACAUCCAUGGUUCCUUGCUUGCAUUCAUGAACUUGCUUUCUCAGCGUGUAUAGACGAGAGGCAUUCUGACGUUUUGAGUAAAGUGUCUGGGCUGUGUCCCAAAUAUCCUUGGCUGUUGCAGCAAACAAUAACGGCUUGCCAAUUUGAGGUUCCAUACUAUUGAUCAAUAUGGAUCGAAGAAUAGAGUCUUCUGCCUUCCAAUAUCGUUCAUGUGGGUCGCCCGGUAGGGGGCGAGGUAUUUCCCCUGUCAGAAAGCUAAAUUUUUGUCGUCCUUCGAGGACCAUCUUUACUGACUGAGACCAUGAGAAAUAGUUGUUGCCAUUCAACUUUUCUCCUGAAAGAUGAUACAUGGAAGACUGAGCCACCGUAUUAGUCACAUAAGGAGAGGAUACAUUAGGGAACGAGUUUACCGGAUUCUCAGAAUACAUCGGUAGAGUGGAUGUCGUCCCUAAGGUAGCCUCAAGUGCUGCUAUCUGUUGUCGAAGCCCUUCCAAUUGUUGAUGAACUAUUCCCGAGGAAGCUUGCACGUUACGGUUGGAAUAUGCCGAAGAUUCACCAACCUCAAAUGUUGAGUGAAUUUGAGAGUUUUUAACAUCGGGAUGGUAGCUAGGAUCAUUGGGUGGCUGGCCAUACAGAUUUGACGGCAGAAGCGGUGGUAGCCGAUUGGAAUUAGAUGGCAGAACAUAAAUCGGGGCGUGGGGAGCAAUAUAGGCCGCGGACGAAGAAAAGGGUUGGACAGAUGGGAUGGUCGGCGCCGUCUGAGGAAGAAAACCAGGCGCAUGGUGGUCCGGUGACGGCGCGGACGACUGCGGUAAUGAGACGUUUUUUGUAGCCGGCUUAAUAAUUCGUCCAUGGCAGCACUCAUCCGAGCAUCGAUGGCAGCAGCUACGGCAGCACUAAAAUUGAUGGCUGUCCCUUCUGUUUGAUUUUCAUCAGUGGUUUGGUUUUUUUGGGUUUCUAGGGUGUUUUCAUUGCCCCGCUCUGAUACCAUAUUGAAAAGAGAGACAACGAGUUCACACCAAUUUACGUGGAAACCCGAGUACCGGGAGAAAAACUACGAUUGUUUGUUGUUAUUAUUUUCUAUGAAUAAAACAAUAGGUACAGGGGAGAAUAAAUAGAGUACACAAUGGAAUAAAAAAGGAAAAGAUUUAGGAAAAUAAGGAAUACAUUCCCAUAAUCUUUCCAUAAUUAUUCUAGGAUUCUAACAAGGAAAAAGCCUAGAAAAAAAGGAAAGAAUUCCAACAAUUAGAUAAGUAAUGAGUUGGACAAUGGGCAUCAGGUAAGGGUAUGGUUAAGGAUUUUUCUUAUUAAAGAAAUUCAAUCAAGUUUUUUAAGGUUGAUGUGCCCCCUACGUGACUGAAUAUGACCAAAAUUGAAGGAACUUAAAAUAAAAUUGGAUAGCUUUUUCAGUUUAAAGUGUGUUUGAACGUAUCUUUGUCCGACAUGUGCUUGACACGGACACUUCUGAUACAACAAAAAAUAUCCGUACUUUCUAUACUCUACAUGUUCACCCAGAAUUAGAUACCAUUUUAUCUCUUCCUUACUUUUUGUCCUUCCAACAGAAAAUGAUUAGAAAGUUUUCGACUUGGGAUUUAUAAGUUUCAAGAGAAAUGGAUAUAAGAAAAAAAGAGAUAAUGUUGAAAUGGGCUUGCUUGCUACAUCCCGUGUCUUUUUUAUAUGAAUGUUUUAGGAGCUUUGUAUACAUGGUCCUUUUUUUUUCUCUUCUACUUUUGGUAUUUAAAAUAGUUUUUAGUUAAGUUUUGAAAUAUUUGAAACUUGAUUUACAAUAUAGUUCAUUAGAUUCCUUAACUUGUUUGAUUUUGUCAACAAAAUUGGCAUCUUUAUUCACAUAUCUAAACUGUGGGGGUUUAUAUGCUUAUUGGGUUUGCUUGGUUUUAACUUGGUCUUUGUGCUUGUAUGUCUAUAUCUUCAUAUUUCCAUAAUCUUGUUUUCAUUAGUCAAAGGCUUUUACAAAGUUGUUAGUUGGAUAUGGGUUGAAGAGUACCAGUAAGUUUACCAGUUACAUCUGUCCAAAGGUUGAGUCUUACAGAUUUGGGAACUAUAGUUUGGUCCAAUUAGUGCAACUUAUCCAUUUCUUUUUCUUUUGAAUAAAAAAUUGGCUGCUUGGUCAUAUUUUGCACAUCUUUAACAGUCAAUGCUUCAUAUCUCCCUCAGCUGACUGAUAAAGUAUUGGUUUGUUUAAUGAUAAUGAUACUAAUUGAAAUUUACCAAUCGCACAAAAAAUAAAUAAACAAAUCAAGUAUGGGAUAGGUGAGAUAAUGUAAUAUUAAAUUUAUUAGCUUUAACCCAUAAGCUUAAGCUUUGUGAUGGUAUUGAAGAAAGUGGUCUAGAGGGUUCUAUAUUCAAUCAUAUACUGUUAUUUUCUCUUCGAUUAAUAUCAAUUUUCAUUUAUUUGUUGGCAAAAGUGUUAGAUGAUGUAAUAUUAAAUUUACCUUUAACCAUCCGUUUAAGUUUUUAGGUUUACGAUGAUUUAAGAGGAACUAAUACUAAAUUAUGUGAUAAUCUAUUGUACUGGGUAG
This 6977-nucleotide long non-coding RNA is filed under the name Cucumis sativus (cucumber). RNAcentral's name for it is "long non-coding RNA (CSAT_LNC000698)". Lineage: Eukaryota; Viridiplantae; Streptophyta; Magnoliopsida; Cucurbitales; Cucurbitaceae. The record is from RNAcentral.